Molecule: ribosomal RNA, 505 nt
Filed under: uncultured bacterium
Lineage: Bacteria
Description: partial 16S ribosomal RNA
Rfam family: Bacterial small subunit ribosomal RNA
Source: RNAcentral
GACGAACGCUGGCGGCGUGCCUAAUACAUGCAAGUAGAACGCACAGUUUAUACCGUAGCUUGCUACACCAUAAACUGUGAGUUGCGAACGGGUGAGUAACGCGUAGGUAACCUGCCUGGUAGCGGGGGAUAACUAUUGGAAACGAUAGCUAAUACCGCAUAAUAUUAAUUAUUGCAUGAUAAUUGAUUGAAAGAUGCAAUUGCAUCACUACCAGAUGGACCUGCGUUGUAUUAGCUAGUAGGUGAGGUAACGGCUCACCUAGGCGACGAUACAUAGCCGACCUGAGAGGGGGAUCGGCCACACUGGGACUGAGACACGGCCCAGACUCCUACGGGAGGCAGCAGUAGGGAAUCUUCGGCAAUGGACGAAAGUCUGACCGAGCAACGCCGCGUGAGUGAAGAAGGUUUUCGGAUCGUAAAGCUCUGUUGUAAGAGAAGAACGGGUGUGAGAGUGGAAAGUUCACACUGUGACGGUAGCUUACCAGAAAGGGACGGCUAACUACGUG